RNAcentral lists this unclassified non-coding RNA (465 nucleotides) under Hevea brasiliensis (rubber tree). Lineage: Eukaryota; Viridiplantae; Streptophyta; Magnoliopsida; Malpighiales; Euphorbiaceae. The record is from RNAcentral.
AACACUGUAGCAUCAUAUACAAUAUGAGUAAUAAGCACAAUUAUUUGUAAUAGUACAAGAGCUAUCCCUAGAAAUCAACAAAAAAUAAAAUGGACAAAGAAGGAAGAGCUUCCAUAGUAUCCAGACAAGAUAGCUAUGCCUAUGCCUAGAAAUCAACACAAAAUAAAAUGAACAAAAAAGGAAGAGCUUCCAUAAUAUCCAGAAAAGAUACAGUCCAAGAAUGAAUAAGGAUACUGAUGAAUGAUUCAACACCCUCUAACACCAAUAAUAACUGAAAUAACAGAUAAUAAUAAGAAAUCUAUUUUAUUUUCUUUUUUUUUCAAUAUAUUCAUGGUUCCAUAAAUGAGUCUCCUUUUUGCAAAUGAUCAGCACCUUGAUGGUGCCUUAAACAAGAGUUUUAGCCUCUUUACCAAUUUAUCAACAAAAUAAAAAGGGCAUUGCUCAAUUGUGAUGAUUAUUAAACCA